RNAcentral lists this ribosomal RNA (497 nucleotides) under uncultured bacterium. RNAcentral's name for it is "partial 16S ribosomal RNA". It matches the Rfam family "Bacterial small subunit ribosomal RNA", at positions 28 to 507 of the family's 1533-position model. The record is from RNAcentral.
GAUGAACGCUGGCGGCGUGCCUAAUACAUGCAAGUCGAGCGAACAGACGAGGAGCUUACUCCUUCGACGUUAGCGGCGGACGGGUGAGUAACACGUAGGUAACCUACCUAUAAGACUGGGAUAACUUCGGGAAACCGGAGCUAAUACCGGAUAAUAUUUCGAACCGCAUGGUUCGAUAGUGAAAGAUGGCUUUGCUAUCACUUAUAGAUGGACCUGCGCCGUAUUAGCUAGUUGGUAAGGUAACGGCUUACCAAGGCAACGAUACGUAGCCGACCUGAGAGGGUGAUCGGCCACACUGGAACUGAGACACGGUCCAGACUCCUACGGGAGGCAGCAGUAGGGAAUCUUCCGCAAUGGGCGAAAGCCUGACGGAGCAACGCCGCGUGAGUGAUGAAGGUCUUCGGAUCGUAAAACUCUGUUAUUAGGGAAGAACAAACGUGUAAGUAACUGUGCACGUCUUGACGGUACCUAAUCAGAAAGCCACGGCUAACUACGUG